UGGGUUUGACAUCCUCUGACCGCCCCGGAAACGGGGUCUUUCCGACUCUGUCGGAACAGAGUGACAGGUGCUGCAUGGCUGUCGUCAGCUCGUGUCGUGAGAUGUUGGGUUAAGUCCCGCAACGAGCGUAACCCUUGUCUUUAGUUGCCAAUAUUAAGUUAGGCACUCUAAAGAGACUGCCUCGGUUAACGGGGAGGAAGGUGGGGAUGACGUCAAGUCCUCAUGGCCUUUAUACCCAGGGUUACACACGUGCUACAAUGGGCUGUACAAAGGGUUGCCACUCCGCGAGGAGGCGCUAAUCCCAAAAAGCAGUCCUCAGUUCGGAUUGGAGUCUGCAACUCGACUCCAUGAAGG
This 354-nucleotide ribosomal RNA is filed under the name uncultured bacterium. Its description in RNAcentral is "bacterial SSU rRNA". It matches the Rfam family "Bacterial small subunit ribosomal RNA", at positions 976 to 1325 of the family's 1533-position model. The record is from RNAcentral.